CAUUGCUAAUAUGGUAUUCCUGGUUCUUUAGCAUGAUGUGGAACAAAAGACAAAUGAGCUCUGAGUCCUAGGGUGUUUCUCAAGGUUCAGUCCAUAGUCGUCACCUAUGUGGCAAGGAAGAUUUUAAGAUUUUAAGAAAACGGAGCUUAGCUUUCUUGUUCUGUUUUGUUCUUUUCCUUCUUGUCCUUUCACUGCACUGUUACUUGCUAUAUAAUUCUCUCAGCUGGUUUCAAGGUGAUCAUUUUGAGCGCGUGAAUCUUUCUUUCAACAUCAAUCACACUGCCAAAACCUGGCAGUGACCACUAAGUGUACUAAACAUUUGGUAACCCUUCUUGGCUUUCUUGACAUUUGGAUGUCUGCAGAUUCAGCCUUCUCCUGAGGAGGCACGGGAACACGGAGGAGGAUCUGAAUUUGUUUAAGGUGCCAGCUGUUAUCCAAGACCAGUAAGGACCUGAUGGCAGCAAGAAUGUCAAGAUACAUAUAGCCAUGCAGAGUGUUCCACAUCAUGACAUCAUGUGGGGCACUGGGAGUUUAACUGUUAAUGCUCAAGAUCUGGUGACCUGCCUGGAAGAGAAGAGCAACUACAUUCCCCAGGGGACUCUGCAGUCACAGAGAGGAGACAGAACUCCUGGCAAGGUCACUAGAUGGACUCUACUUCUUCCGCUCUUCUUCAUCGUCUCUCCUCCCGUCUCCCUGCUGCUCAACUGAACUGCGCAUCUCACAUCAGUGCUAUGGCAAAAUAUGACUUCCGAGGAGCACUUUUCCAUUCAUUUUCCAUGAAGUGUUUCCCCAGUCCCAAUGCUAACCUCCAAGAAAGACCAGAUCAUAGGGUGAAAUCCAUUAAAACUGGCAGAAGAGCUAGCUCCAUAUCUACAGUCAACAAAGCCAAACAGAAAUAUGAAGCAGAGGAAAAAGGAGAGAAUGUAUGCAGCUGCGUGGCAUCGAGUCCAGCUCAGAACUUGCCUGCCCAUCAGGUGGUGUAGACACAGUGUGGCACUGCUGCUCCUCUUGCCAUUGCUCAACACAGAAGUGAUAUUUAACAUGAAAGCAAACUAGCCAGGCUACUUAUCUUUCCAUUAGAACACCUGAGCAUGGAUCCAGUUGGACUCUGGAAAUGAAUUAGGUGCACCUUAGGCAUCAUACUGCCAGGCACUGCCUGUCUGUCCUGCUCUUAUAACCUGAUAAAAUUGGCAUUACAGUGGCUGGUGACUUGGCCACAGAAUCACAGAAAGCCAAGGAUUGGAAGGGACCUCGAAAGACAAUCUAAUCCAAUUCUCCUGCUGGAGCAGAUCACAUAUUUUGUGUCUGAAAACAUGUAGAGCUUAGUCUUCUCCCAGGAGUAAGCAUUGUUGACAUCAGUCCCCUCACUUAUCUUCGUUCAUUAAAAUGUUGCAAUACAAUUAUUUGUUCUUCAGGCAACAAAACACCCCUGGCAGCAUAUUUUGCUAAUUAGUUGACCUAUCAAUUAAAGUCCACAGCCUUAAAUAAUCUUGCUUUUUUCAUGUAAAAUGAUCAGUGAAUUCAGAAUUCUGCUGCAUAAUCCAUCAAGGCAUUACAGGUUGUGUCCUAGAGUAUAGCUCUGGAUCUGUCCUUCAUCCAAGUUCCUCAAAUAAAUGAGUUCAUAAAAUGGCUUGGAUUGAGAGGGAUCCCAAGGAUCAUCGGGUUCCAACUCCUUACUUUAGACUGGUAGAAUUACAUUAAACAUACACAGCUUCUUGAUUAGGACUGUGAUCUUGUGUUAAAAGUUCUUGAUACUUAAUACUGGAGUCAGCAUAGCCCACAGCUUUGCGGUUAUUUGCAGUGCAGGUUUUUGGAGAAGCAAUUGAAUGUCUUGAGUCAUCAGCAUGGGUUAGACCCCAGACAUAUUAUUUAGCAUAAUGGGUUAUCAAACUUUAUGGUUACUUUGGAACGUGUGUUUUUAAUGCUUCCUGGUAAAAAGUAUAAUUUGAAACUUUAUUUUUGAACUACUAAAACACAGCGACCAUCGAAUUGCCUGGACACGUAUGUUGUUAAUGAGAACUCUAUAAGUCUUAACCAAAAACUAUUGCAACUGGUUUUUAGUACUCAGGAGUUAGUCUGACCAGUUCAUUCCAGUUAGGAGAAUUCAGUGUUGGAGAGAAAUAUCUUUCAUGUAAUCCUGUUCAAUUGUAGAGAUGUUCCAAGCACCUUUGAGCAUAGGAGGAUCAAAUGACAGGAGAUUGUUUUCAGCUGGUACUCAAACCCAAUAGCACUGUCUGGGCUUCUCUCAGUGCUGCAUCCCACACUUGCCCAGUGUGCAUCUGGAUUUUCUUUCUAAAAAUCUGCUCAUUUGUGGUGUUUCUGCUGUCCUCUUUGUCACACCCACACACCAGUCAAACAAGUCUUUUGUAUAAUUCAAAUUCCUCACUGGUCUUUCAUAUUUCUGCUUCAGCCUGUGACUUGAUGCGUGUUAGAAUCAAGGGUUGUUGGUUUUUUUGUUUGUUUUUUGGUUGGUUGUUUGGUUUUGCUUUAAAUAAAGAGUGUAACUAUUGUGUUUUAAAGGAAAUGUGUUACUUAAAGUAGUCUGUUCUGCAUUGGCAUUCCUUUUCUCAACCAGUGAUAAUUGUUUGCUAGUAUGUGGACAAAUACUAAGAAAACAUCUCCUGCACAGGAAGUGUUCUAGAAGUGAGACAAAAAAGCCCAUGGCUGAGUUCUUUGAGAGUACAGGGAGGACUGCUUGUUUGGCAGUUGCUGAGUCCAUCUGUAUUUGUCAAUCUCAAACCAUUGUUUGAGAUUGCGUGGGUGAUUUUUAACUUAGAGUAAACACUGCUGUUCAUCCCAAUGACUGUCAAAAGGAAAAGAGGAGGCUAUGACUCUAGGUUGAAUCUUCUUUAGGUUCAGGCUACUUGUGAAGAAUUUGUCAGUCUGCUCCAUGGAGAGCAGAGCAGCUCUGAUUUUAUCCAUGGCCAAGCUGUGAGAAAGGUGCAUGCAGCACAGAGUGAAAGCAUAAAGCUUGCAGCUCCCUGACAAUGCAGCUAUCUGGAGAGCACCAGGAAUAUGUAUAUUUUUUUCUUGAGUGUUUACUGCAGAGGUGAAUUUUUAAACAAUCUUUUCAGCACUCAGGCUACCAAAUAAAGACCCAAAAUUUUUAAAGGGGAGCUGAUAAUACUAUUAUAUUAUGGCUAGAAAUCAAAUAGUUCAGGUUGUGCUUUCAUUAUUUGCAACUCUCAAGUGUAUUUUAAUAUAAUUUGUCCAAGCAGUGCUCUUUUAUCAUGUUCCUUCCCCAGACCAUCUUUCCUCCUUAUCUAAAUGUCCUCAAAGCCUUUCAUCUCCCUGGGAAGCUGUCAGAUGGUUAUGGAAAUCCAGCCGGCAGGACGAGUCUCAGUGGUGCUCAUGGCUCUGAAGGAGGAUCCUAUCUUGCUCAAAGCAGCCCUUGGGCAAACUAAAAGACCACCCAUUUGCAGAGCCAGAACUGAAGUUUUAAAUUGGUUUUGUUUUUUUUUUCUAGACACUCUUAAGCAGAAACAGACAAGGCACAGGGCUGAAUGUUCUGCUUCCAUACAUAUAUACUUAUGGAUAACUUUUGGAGUAUCAGAUUUUCAAUAACCUAAAGCCAUUAGAAAUGGUUCAUGAACAUUCAGGCAUGCAUACAUAAUUUAUGCUAACUGAAUCCAUUUAUGUGCACUCUUGUAAAA
Long non-coding RNA from Tympanuchus pallidicinctus (lesser prairie-chicken), 3653 nucleotides. RefSeq lists it as uncharacterized. The record is from RefSeq and is a predicted model, not a curated record. Lineage: Eukaryota; Metazoa; Chordata; Aves; Galliformes; Phasianidae. The transcript is spliced from 4 exons.